RNAcentral lists this transfer RNA (65 nucleotides) under Taenia sp. MZH:127052. RNAcentral describes it as "tRNA-Leu (CUN)". Lineage: Eukaryota; Metazoa; Platyhelminthes; Cestoda; Cyclophyllidea; Taeniidae. The record is from RNAcentral.
GUAGAGAUGCCAGAAUUAUAUGGGAUUAAUUUAGGAUUAAUUUAUGGCUUUUAAGUCUCUCUAUG